UACGAGGGGGGCGAGCGUUGUUCGGAAUUAUUGGGCGUAAAGGGUGCGUAGGCGGUUUGGUAAGUCUUGUGUGAAAUCUACAGGCUCAACUUGUAGUCUGCACGAGAAACUGCCGGGCUUGAGUGUGGGAGAGGUGAGUGGAAUUCCUGGUGUAGCGGUGAAAUGCGUAGAUAUCAGGAGGAACACCAGUGGCGAAGGCGGCCCUCUGGGCCGGGCCUGACGCUGAGACGCGAGGGCGUGGGGAGCGAACGGG
RNAcentral lists this ribosomal RNA (253 nucleotides) under uncultured bacterium. RNAcentral's name for it is "partial 16S ribosomal RNA". It matches the Rfam family "Bacterial small subunit ribosomal RNA", at positions 524 to 776 of the family's 1533-position model. The record is from RNAcentral.